Molecule: long non-coding RNA, 442 nt
Organism: Melitaea cinxia (Glanville fritillary)
Lineage: Eukaryota; Metazoa; Arthropoda; Insecta; Lepidoptera; Nymphalidae
Exons: 2
Source: RefSeq, a predicted model, not a curated record
ACAUACAUAGAUAUGUGAGAAUAAACAUCAGAUGAUGUGUGGCAGUUGGCACAUCGUACUGGCUGUCGGUUUUCGUGGUCGCGUGUUUUAACCUCGUUCAUGGCAAAUAUUUUUAUAGGUCACAUAUAGAUAGUCAUGAGAUGUUUGAUAUGGUUUGUGUAUUGUGUGUGUUGUGUCGGGGUCCAGACCGCCAACGUGGUUGUAAAUCCUACCCAGGAACCGUUAAAUGAGAAUCCAAACCAAAUAGCCUUACGACAAGAAAUCGAUGAGAAGACAAUCAAUUUAGACUUCUGGGUCAAGCUGUUGUUCGUACAUUCUGAUGGAAAAAAAGUUUUUGUCAGCUUCGACACCCGACUGGAGUGAACUCCUGAAGAACUUAUUUAAAAGUUAAAAUGUCAUAUUAAAUGAAUCCUAUUAUUAAUAAAAAAAUUGAUAUACAAAA